Molecule: ribosomal RNA, 497 nt
Filed under: uncultured bacterium
Lineage: Bacteria
Description: partial 16S ribosomal RNA
Rfam family: Bacterial small subunit ribosomal RNA
Source: RNAcentral
GAUGAACGCUGGCGGCGUGCCUAAUACAUGCAAGUCGAGCGAACGGACGAGAAGCUUGCUUCUCUGAUGUUAGCGGCGGGCGGGUGAGUAACACGUGGAUAACCUACCUAUAAGACUGGGAUAACUUCGGGAAACCGGAGCUAAUACCGGAUAAUAUUUUGAACCGCAUGGUUCAAAAGUGAAAGACGGUCUUGCUGUCACUUAUAGAUGGAUCCGCGCUGCAUUAGCUAGUUGGUAAGGUAACGGCUUACCAAGGCAACGAUGCAUAGCCGACCUGAGAGGGUGAUCGGCCACACUGGAACUGAGCCACGGUCCAGACUCCUACGGGAGGCAGCAGUAGGGAAUCUUCCGCAAUGGGCGAAAGCCUGACGGAGCAACGCCGCGUGAGUGAUGAAGGUCUUCGGAUCGUAAAACUCUGUUAUUAGGGAAGAACAUAUGUGUAAGUAACUGUGCACAUCUUGACGGUACCUAAUCAGAAAGCCACGGCUAACUACGUG